CAACCAAGCACUGCACAAAAUCAAUGAAUCAAGCCUGAUUACAGUAUUGAUAGAAUCUGACAGGUAUCAAAACACUAGAAUACACCAAAGAAACCUAACAACCUUACUAGUCGAGACUUCUUUUGAUUGCUGUGUCAUCGAAAGUGAGUCCUGAAGUUGGGGAAAUUCCAGCAAUCCUGGCAUCACCACAAGAAAUACCGGAGGACCCAAAAAAUAAACUAGAUCUAGAUGAAUCAAAUAAAAGUCUUAUGAAAGAAAAUAAGGAUAAAAUGUAGAACAUGAAAAUGAACCAGUAAAAGAUGCCAACAGUAUGAAUACUAGCAGUAUGAAGGUUCAGAGUGAUGAUGAUACAAAGAAUGAAGAAACACCCACUGACCGAACCACUGACACUGUUUCACAAG
RNAcentral lists this long non-coding RNA (401 nucleotides) under Amphimedon queenslandica. RNAcentral's name for it is "uncharacterized LOC109586289". Lineage: Eukaryota; Metazoa; Porifera; Demospongiae; Haplosclerida; Niphatidae. The record is from RNAcentral.